CCAGACUUCUACGGGAGGCAGCAGUGGGGAAUAUUGCACAAUGGGGGGAACCCUGAUGCAGCGACGCCGCGUGGGCGAGGAAGUAUUUCGGUAUGUAAAGCCCUAUCGGCAGGGAAGAAGGAGGACGGUACCUGACUAAGAAGCCCCGGCUAACUACGUGCCAGCAGCCGCGGGAAUACGUAGGGGGCAAGCGUUAUCCGGAUUUACUGGGUGUAAAGGGGGCGCAGGCGGCAGCGCAAGCCAGGAGUGAAAGCCCGGGGCCCAACCCCGGGACUGCUCUUGGAACUGCGCGGCUGGAGUGCAGGAGGGGCAGGCGGAAUUCCUAGUGUAGCGGUGAAAUGCGUAGAUAUUAGGAGGAACACCGGUGGCGAAGGCGGCCUGCUGGACUGUGACUGACGUUGAGGCUCGAAAGCGUGGGGAGCAAACAGGAUUAGAUACCCUAGUA
Molecule: ribosomal RNA, 445 nt
Filed under: uncultured bacterium
Lineage: Bacteria
Description: partial 16S ribosomal RNA
Rfam family: Bacterial small subunit ribosomal RNA
Source: RNAcentral